AGAGUUUGAUCAUGGCUCAGGAUGAACGCUAGCUACAGGCUUAACACAUGCAAGUCGAGGGGUAGCAGGGUAGCAAUACCGCUGACGACCGGCGCACGGGUGAGUAACACGUAUCCAACCUUCCCAUAACUCAGGGAUAGCCUUUCGAAAGAAAGAUUAAUACCUGAUAGUACUUUUUCAAGGCAUCUUGAGAAAGUUAAAGAUUUAUUGGUUAUGGAUGGGGAUGCGUUCCAUUAGAUAGUUGGUGAGGUAACGGCUCACCAAGUCUUCGAUGGAUAGGGGUUCUGAGAGGAAGGUCCCCACAUUGGUACUGAGACACGGACCAAACUCCUACGGGAGGCAGCAGUGAGGAAUAUUGGUCAAUGGGCGAGAGCCUGAACCAGCCAAGUAGCGUGAAGGAUGAAGGUCCUAUGGAUUGUAAACUUCUUUUAUAGUAGAAUAAAGUGAUCCACGUGUGGAUUUUUGUAUGUAUACUAUGAAUAAGGAUCGGCUAACUCCGUGCCAGCAGCCGC
RNAcentral lists this ribosomal RNA (512 nucleotides) under uncultured bacterium. RNAcentral describes it as "bacterial SSU rRNA". It matches the Rfam family "Bacterial small subunit ribosomal RNA", at positions 8 to 518 of the family's 1533-position model. The record is from RNAcentral.